Molecule: ribosomal RNA, 457 nt
Filed under: uncultured bacterium
Lineage: Bacteria
Description: bacterial SSU rRNA
Rfam family: Bacterial small subunit ribosomal RNA
Source: RNAcentral
UACGGAAGGCAGCAGUGGGGAAUAUUGCACAAUGGGCGAAAGCCUGAUGCAGCUAUGCCGCGUGUAUGAAGAAGGCCUUAGGGUUGUAAAGUACUUUCAUCGGGGAGGAAAAAACAAAACUAAUAAUUUUAUUUCUUGACGUUACCCGAAAAAGAAGCACCGGCUAACUCCGUGCCAGCAGCCGCGGUAAUACGGAGGGUGCUAGCGUUAAUCAGAAUUACUGGGCGUAAAGAGCACGUAGGUGGUUUUUUUAAGUCAGAUGUGAAAUCCCUGGGCUUAACCUAGGAACUGCAUUUUGAAACUGAAAUACUAGAGUAUCGUAGAGGGAGGUAGAAUUCUAGGUGUAGCGGUGAAAUGCGUAGAUAUCUGGAGGAAUACCUGUGGCGAAAGCGGCCUCCUAAACGAAUACUGACACUGAGGUGCGAAAGCGUGGGGAGGCAAACAGGGAUUAGAUACC